This 468-nucleotide ribosomal RNA is filed under the name uncultured bacterium. RNAcentral's name for it is "partial 16S ribosomal RNA". It matches the Rfam family "Bacterial small subunit ribosomal RNA", at positions 28 to 507 of the family's 1533-position model. The record is from RNAcentral.
GACGAACGCUGGCGGCGUGCUUAACACAUGCAAGUCGAACGGAAAGGCCCUGCUUUUGUGGGGUGCUCGAGUGGCGAACGGGUGAGUAACACGUGAGUAACCUGCCCUUGACUUUGGGAUAACUUCAGGAAACUGGGGCUAAUACCGGAUAGGAGCUCCUGCUGCAUGGUGGGGGUUGGAAAGUUUCGGCGGUUGGGGAUGGACUCGCGGCUUAUCAGCUUGUUGGUGGGGUAGUGGCUUACCAAGGCUUUGACGGGUAGCCGGCCUGAGAGGGUGACCGGCCACAUUGGGACUGAGAUACGGCCCAGACUCCUACGGGAGGCAGCAGUGGGGAAUCUUGCACAAUGGGCGGAAGCCUGAUGCAGCAGCGCCGCGUGCGGGAUGACGGCCUUCGGGUUGUAAAACGCUUUCGCCUGUGACGAAGCGUGAGUGACGGUAAUGGGUAAAGAAGCACCGGCUAACUACGUG